Homo sapiens (human) is the source of this 2271-nucleotide long non-coding RNA. The record is from Ensembl. NCBI's taxonomy places the organism in Eukaryota, Metazoa, Chordata, Mammalia, Primates, Hominidae.
GGCCCAUUACCACUCACUAAAACAGUCUGUCACAGUGGUGCUCUGGGGCCAUUCAUUUUUCAUGACCUUCUUGGAGACGUGACUGGGAUUUCCUGAAACCACGCAUAGGUCCCUGCCCAGCAAGCGCUCUGCAUUAACAUCCCUUAAUUCUUCUCUUCCAAAGGGCCACUGUCAUAAGGACGCCUGGAAGAGUGAAGAAAGGCCUGAUUGAUCACAAGGUCCUAUCAAAUGUCAAAGCUGGCCCUGGCUGACCUCCCAUCUAUUCAGAGCUGCUUUGAUUUAAUCUCCAAACUGGCUGCUUCUCCAGGCUGUGAGUUCUAUCUGCAACCCAUGUGUCAGCAUUGAGAUAUGACCUGCUUCACGCUCCAUUCAUCUCAUUUGAAGGACGGAAAUUAAACUCGAGGGUCGAAGAGGGGAACUGCUCAAAAUACACACACACAUUAACUGAAGCCUUUUGUGUGGGUACAUUAUAGGAGUUUGAACAACCAUUAAAAAUUAUAUUAAAAUGAACUUGAUCUUUACUCCACUGAAAUGGUUUAGAACUCUUCCUCCCCUCACUGCCCCUUCGUCUAUUCUUUUUUCCCUCUCAUAUUUGUAGUAAUCAUAUGAACCUGAUCUUAUUAAGAUUCAAAGUGAAAGAAGAGAAAAAUUUACAUUUUUUCAGUUUCUUUAAAAAUGGUGUCCUUUAGAAAAUUCACUUUGCCUGUAGUUUGCACAGUAAAUAUUUUUUUUAAAGAGAUAGGAGAAGCCAGAACCAGACUAAUAGAAAUGCAGACUGCUUUGUUUAGCAUUAUUGAUUCAUUUAAGUUUCACCUUGUAAGGUUUUUAAAAAAAUUAAUUAAAACUCAAACUUUGGGAACAGUUCUAUAACCAUCAGGACACAUUGGUAUGGUAUAAAUCUAUAUAUCCUAGGUUCCAUUUCUUAUUUCUAAACUCUUCUUUCUCUUUUCAUUGGCCCUUUUAUACUAUCAAGGCUAAUAACUAAGUGAAACUUGAUUCCUUAUAGAUUUGUUUGCAUAAAAAUUUCAAGAACAAGCUCUACGUUAUUUACUAGAAGUACCUCAAAAGUAUUGAAAUAAAAUAAUUAUAAGUGUGUUAGAAAAGUUAGUUAUACUUAUUUCUGUGUUUAUUCAUUUGCUUAUGCAUUCAUACAUUUAAACUCUGUAUGAUAAUGGCAUCCAGGUAGGAAAAAUGUUGUUGCUUGUUUAGUUAAAAGGAUAUACUGUACAUUUCCACUGUAAGAGUAGUACAUAUUCAAUAUAGAAAAGACAAUUGGCAAAGACAGGCAAGAAAGAGGGAAUAGCAGACAUCAAAAAUACUAUUGACCAGAAGUAAACAACAUAAAUACCUUUGUGUUUAUCCUUUCUUUUUUUUUUUGUAGAUGCCCACUUUUUAUUUUCCUUAUAUAAAAUCAUACUGUUUCUGCUUGGGAGAAGACUGCAUUUUUGAUUGUUAUAUCACCUUUUAUGGAAAUGAUUAUUUUGCUUGGUAAUAUUGUAUGAAUAGCAAUUCAGAUUUUUAAGUUUUUUCACUAUUAUGAAUAUUUUUAUGUAAAAAUAUAAUUAUAUAUAGUAUGUUAUUUAUGUUUCCUUUAUUUUCUCCAAAAUACUCUAAUUUGGGAAAAAAAGAUGUGCUCAAUUUACUGGUAUAGUUAAAACUAUAGUCUUUUCUUUUACGGUUUUUCAUUUGAAUACUCACUUGGAAAUAAUUUUCCUUCUUAAAUAAUCACUCGUGUUUUCUUUAAGACAUGUCAUUUGUUUUAUAUGUAAUAUAUGUACAAUGGAAUGAGUACUAUAGUGAAUACUGAUACUAUUUCUACAUAAACAAUUUCAUGGGACUUAUGAAAAAUCUUUCUGACUACGGUCAUAUGGAGAGAAACAUUUGAGCAUCUGAGGCAUUCAAAUAAUGCUGUUUAAACAUCUAGUUUUGCAAGUAGGGAAGUGGAAGAACACAGGAUGAUUGUAUCUGUCUUGUACUUCUCAGUAAAAUCUCUCUUUCUUCAUAUCCUUAUGUUGAUAUCUUAUUAUUCAUGGCAGAAAUGUUGAAUAAAUGCACUUUGCAAGUUAACUCAUUCUUUGCAGUGCCAGGUGGAAAGUAGGCUCAUUCUUUUAAUAUGGUAUAGCAUUUUGCAAGAGAACUUUUUACAAUGGUGGAAAUAUUCUAUAAUUGAACUGUUCAACAUGGUAGCCACCAGCUACAUGUGGCUAUUGAACACAUGAAAUGUGACUCAUGUAACUGAGAAACUGAAUAAAAAAUUUUAUGUAAUUUAAA